This 246-nucleotide long non-coding RNA is filed under the name Sorghum bicolor (sorghum). RNAcentral describes it as "long non-coding RNA (SBIC_LNC002116)". The record is from RNAcentral. Lineage: Eukaryota; Viridiplantae; Streptophyta; Magnoliopsida; Poales; Poaceae.
CCGCCAUGAAAAGCCGCCCGUGGAGAGUGAUUUGAACGGUUUUAGAUAGUUCAGGAAAUAAAUUAGACUGUUUCAUAGUUCGGGGUAAAGUAGACAGCACCCAUAGUUCAGGGGUGAUGUAGACUUUUUCCAAUAUGAUAACUAAUGUUGAUGGUUAGUUUUAUAUGAUGUAUAUAUCUUGUAUGCUAAGAUAAAACUUUGUAGCGAGGAUUAGCUAUAUUAAUAUUAAAAGUAGCAAUUGCGUUG